Molecule: long non-coding RNA, 5044 nt
Organism: Peromyscus californicus insignis
Lineage: Eukaryota; Metazoa; Chordata; Mammalia; Rodentia; Cricetidae
Exons: 2
Source: RefSeq, a predicted model, not a curated record
CCGAGGUGGUUGAGAGCUGUUUUGCUCCCCCUCCCCCUCCCCCUGCCACCUUUAAUGCUUAGUUCCUUGGUUUUGCAAAGUCCUGCCACCACGGGCUGCGCAGAGGGUUCUCUCGGACGCAGGAUGCACCGGCCAGUCGGUCGGGCCACAAGACCACAAGGCUGCGCAGGGGCGGGGGGCCUUGGACCAACUUUGACUUGGCCUUCUGCGACCUGUGCUGACGUCACGGCCCCAGGAGCCGUUCGGUCAGCGGAGGAGGUAACAGGUUCGAAUUUUGUAUCCUUUCAUAGUUACCCCCUUUCGGAACAGACGUCGAAGUCCUUGGGCGGGGUCGCCUUCGGAUUCUCUAGCUCGGACUCUCCUCCUGCCUUUGCGGCUAACAUUCUGUUACUCUCAUUUUUUUGUUUUCUACUUUUCUCUCUUCUUCAGAGUAAAGAAAAUUCGUUUAAAUGAAAAGCGAGGCCAUCUCCUCAUGUCCUCUCCACCCCCUACCGUGUGUUUUUGCAUUGCUUUUUAGAAGCCCCUGGGCCUCGGGAGUCGGGUCUACGCCGCCGACGCCGACGCCCACACCUGUUAGGCGCACGGAGCCUGCCUCGGUCCGCAGCCCCUCCCGCCAGGCGGACCCGCAGCUGGGGCAGGAGGAAGGCGAGAUCAACAGGAUCCCAUAGCAGAACCACGCGCCUGCGAGGGUCGGGAUGCGCCCUGUCCAAGAAGCCAACGGAGGAUCCGACCCGAGGAGACGUGACGGGGCGAUGAACCUCAGAAUCUGGCGGACAACUUCCAGAAAGUUUGCCAGGCCAGUCUCAAGGGAGCUGGGACCCGAAUCGUAGAGAAUAGCAACCUGGUUGUGGGGCUACCGAGAAAGUUCCUUCUCUGCCGCCGGAGAAAAGAUUUGGUAGGGAGUGAAGAGUCUGGAGAUACAGGUGGAGUGAGGGUGCGGUGGAGUCCUCCGCGUUAGGCGUUCAGGGUCCCCCACCCACCCACCCCUACACAAUUCCCCGGGGUCAGACGGCAGAGUAACUCUACCUAUGCCUGAGUGCUGGCCUGUUGGCGGGAGGGGCGGGAAGGCUCCGUGCGCUGCGGGAUUCCACGCGCCCGCCUGCUUCUAGAGCAUUUUUUGUUUUUGUUUUUUGGGGGGGCAGUUUUGCAGACAUUUUUUAAACCCCCAAACCAAGUAACCUACCCAGAUAUGCUUAGUUUUCUGGGAAGCGGUGGCCUAAAUACCCUUUCUCGCGCUUGAGGCCAAGAGUCCUGCACUUAGACGAACUCACCAGAGCCAACGGUUUCAGGAACCCGAGCUCUGGCGUGGACCUAGAUCGAACCUUCUUUUCUUAAGAGCAGGAGGUAUCGCACCCUGGAACCCAACCCAGGCCAAACUACAGGAUGUCUUCCCCUUUUCUGGUGCUCUAAGUUGGUGUCUUCACAGGUCUGAGACGCUCUCUUUUCACAAGCCGAGGUUGGUGGUGUUCACAUAAAGAAUGUAAUGGAGGGAAGCAGAAAAAAACCCGUUCUGGGCUGAGAUAACAACCGUGCCCACCCCGUAGGAUGCCUCUGCCCAGCUUCCCAGGCCACUCAUGCUGUUAGCAUCUGCUGAUAUGAGCAGCUGCCCAGAAGAGACUGGAAGUGAAAGCCCACCUGAGCCGCUAGCCUCAGGGAGAGCAUGCCCAGGUUAAGGCAACAGGAUGAGCCUCCCAACCACCACCACCACCACACACACACACACACACACACACACACACACACACACACACACACACACACACAAAACCUCAUUGCAGGAUUGGACACACCUUCAUGUACACAUGAAGUGGACGCCCACGGGGGGCGCGCUCACCUCUGACGUGGCCCUCUCACCCAAGGGACCCUUUCUAAAAGUUUGGCCUCACAGUAUGCUCUCAUAAGCACGUUUGCCUGCAGGCACAACCACUUGGUGAGUGAUCUCAGACUCAGACGCCUGCAGAGUCCCACGUCAUGAGCCUGCACCCUCAACAUUGAGCAUAUCUAUCAGAGCACGGAACCCCAGUCCUUCUCCAUCUGCUGGGAUAGAGACCUUCCCUCCAAAUGAAGUGGUUGACAGCGAGGGCCCAACUCACACUUUCAGAAGUGUCCUCAGCUCAGAAUCAUUUGCUGAGGAGUCUGCCGGGCCGGUGGGGAGGGGGCGUGUGCACCCAGCCAAGAAAUCCUCCACAUCCUCAUUCCAACCCCAUCCAUCACUCAGAGCCACUCCACAGAAGAGGCCCAGGGGGAAGGCCCAGGUGGGGACCUGGGGUGAUGUGGGAUUGGGCGCCUAGAAUGAGGGUUCUGUACCACUGACUAGGAGAAGGGCUGGGGGCAUCAGUGGGGGACCUGGGAAGCGUUGACUUUUGCGCUGUUUGCCCGCGGCCUCGGAGCAAGCAGACGCCAUCUGUUUGCCGGCUGCGACGCUUCCCAUUUAAUUACCCUCCCGGCAGCCUAAUAGAGAUGAUAUUAAACUAAAUCUUUCUGACAUUAAAAGUAAUUAUCCCCAAACCGGUGGCUCUGGGACGGAUUCGCCCCUCCCGCACAGACCCCUUUCCCACCGCUCUGGAUUCCGUUAGUUUGGCUGAAAUUCUUCACCUGGGAAGGGCUGGAGGAAGAAGGAGCCUUGGGAGACAGCGUCUCCGAAGGCAGGCAUGCCUGACUCGCGUUUUGCGCACCAGAGUGACUCCUGUUCCUGCGUGGACGCAGGCAUGGACGCCAGCACAGGAGACAUUUUCCUCCAGUCUUGCUGAUUAAGACGCUCUGUCGUGCGUGCCCAGCGCGAAUGGGGAGGAAGGGAGCCUGGUUUGCUGUCUCCUUUGAAAUGGCCCUUGAUCUGGCCGAGGCUAGGGCCAAGGAAAAGACACAACUUUGGAAACAGAACAAAACAACAAACCACACUGCCCACUGUGGCUCGGGGCUUUUGCGUGUUCUUCCAGCGCCUUGCACUUUUCCCUGCAGUGACUUAUGGAGUCCCACCUUCCUCUACUGGGUCCCAUUAUCUCACUUGCCAGGUGAGAAAGCGAUUCCAAGCUGGAAGGCGACACAGAGGAGCACAAAUUUCAAGCCUUGGAGUUGCCAUCCCUGGCCAGUGGUCUGCAAAGUUCUGGGUUCCACCCGAGGCUCUCUUCUGCACCUGGGGUCCAAUCGCUGGUGCUUAGCUUCUUUAGGGAAAGAAGCACUGGGCGCCUUACUCGAGGAGCAGGCGAAGGGCCAACUGAGGCAGAAGGAGGGACCGCACUGGUUGGUGCAGGAGGUGCCGACACCAAGUUCCAGCCAUAGCUCCAGCCACAGCCACUGGCCUCCUUGGACAAGCCCUGCAAGGGAGUAGGGUUGCACAAGGUUUCAAGGCUUUCUAUUUUGAAGUGUCUCCUGUGUUUGUCACUCUGCUAAACUGUAGGUGUGGCCUGCUUGCUUAGCACACAGUGCUAACGGGAAGUGCAAUAGCCCACUUCAGACCUGAGUGCCUCACGAAAUUUAGAGCGGUGUGGUAACUUACCUGGGACCGCCAUGCUGCACAACCUAAAGAAAGAAAUCCAGAUCCAGUGUUCAGUCUUAGACCUUUGUCUCCUCACCUCAAUUCUGAGCAUAAUGUGGGACUUAGGGUUUUUUUUUUUUGUUUUUUUUUUUUUGGGGGGGGGUUGAUUUCAUUAAAUUCGCCAGUUAUUCAAGGAAAACCGAGAAUCUGGCCACUCAUGUUGAGUCCCUAGUAUGUGCCAGGCUCUGAGGAUCAGAGAUUAACUACUUGUAAUAUACUCUUACAGAGUUCACCGGUCAACUAGGCACAAGGUCACCCACUGUUGACCUCACAGUGAGAACAGUGGGCAUGGAAGGGGCUUCCUUGAAGGGACCCCAGUGGAAGCUGCCAGGGCUUGUUCUCAAUAAACACCUUAAACAUUUUAGAAAAUUUAGCAGCAUAUAUUUGAUUUUUGUAAACUGUUUCAGUGUGUUCAUUUACAAAAAUAUGCAUUUUGUUUACAAAUAUAAGCAUUUUUCAUGUUAAUCAACACAAUCUUUAAAAGGAUUUAAAAAUAAUCAGUUAUAUGGAUGUACCUUAUUUUGCCAAUUUUUUUUAAUAGUUAGUCUCCAGUUUUUGCUCUGAUAACAUUGCUACCAUGAGCAGCCUUUGUGAAUGUGACCAAUCAUUUCCUUAGGAAAACUUACUAGAAAUUCGAACAAGUCAUCAGAGGCUUUUCCGGGCAUUUGAUAGCUCCCUGUCAAACAGCCCUCAGAAAAGGCUGUGACAGGCAAGGCACUCAAGAUGCAUCUUGGGGUCUUUUUAAUCUUUGCUAAUUCAAGCAAGAAAAGCAGCAUCUCGGAGGCACUGCAAUUUACAUUUCCUUAGUUUUUUCUUUAUGUCACAGCCACUGCUGUCCGUUUUUUAAAUAAUAUGCAUACAUCCUUUAAGAACUUAGAACCUCUCUGUAGGUCAGUACACAGUCAAGGCAGCAGCACCCUCCUUUCUGUAAAACGGGCUACACUUCUCCAUCCUUUGGGUUACUGCUUUUGCUAUUACUAUCCUGGGGUUUUAAGCUUUUUUUUUUUUUUUUUUUUAAAGUAGCCAUACUUGUUAAUUUCCACUAUAAAUGGCAUAUAUUUACAGUAUCUUAAGAUUUUCCAGUUUUAAACUUCUAAAAUAAUUUACCUCCAUUUUUAUAUUUAUUUAGCUAGUAAAUACAUUUAUUAGCUUUUCAUUUUCUAUCUUUAUAUAGUUAGUUCAGUUGAAAAUAAUUUUUAUGGAAAGUGUGAAGUUUGUAACAACUCUUCCCCAAAUAAUCAGCUGGUUAUCAGAGGACUAUUGCAUGACCUGCCCAUCCCUCCACUGACCACAUACUGAAAUCUCAGAUGACCUUUGUUGGCUUCAGUACGUGUUUUCCCAGCCUCAGUGUUCUAACUCUUGUACUUGUGUAAUAUUUCGGAGGGUGGGUCACUCUACUGAUUCCUGAUUCUUCUUUUUCAAACAUCUCAAAUUUUUUUCCAAAACACAGUAAUCUGAAUCAACAUUUUAUCAAUUUCAAAUCUUGUUAAAAAUAAAAUAGUAAUUGGA